AGCCACCGUAAGCAAGUGUUUAUCUCCAAACCGACGGAGCAGAUCUGCGCGCUCACGGUGCGGAGAACCAGAAGGCCCGAAAGCGGCGUAGGCUCAGACGGUCCCAUUAUCAAUUCCCACCCGCCGCCGUCUCGCGUCCUUCGCCCCGCCUUCCCUUUUCACUUCUUUCCCUCCAAAGGCGCAGAGACGGAGAGGGUGGGCGAGCUGUGGAAGGAAGGAAGAUUCUUUCUGAAGUAAAAGACUUGUGACCUCUCUAAAUUUAAAGAUGGACCCAGCAGACACUCUAAGGCUCAUUGAAGCCAUCGAGAAAUUGAACCCAGAAGUUAUCAAGAAAUCAAACCAGAUAGAGAUGGACCCAAUAGUCACUCUGAGGCUCAUUGAAGCCAUCGAGAAAUUGAAGGAGCUUAAUAUGGAGUCGCCUUUCGAUGCGUUAUCUGAGUGUAAAAAGUCAUUCAUUGAGGUUUCUAAAGCUAUCACAUUGUUCGCUGGCGCUGGUCUCAAUGCAUUGAAUGUCUUUGUUGUUGCUGUGGUUUACAUGUCAAAACACAUGAUGCUUGGUAACGAAGGUGGUACUAAUACUGCUCCAGCAGGCGUCCUUCCGACCGAAAGUGCUCCUGCCCCUUUCAGUAUUACUCAAUCAAUUCUUAUUCUUGGAACGAUGUUUUACUUCCUUUUUACAAGCUAUGCUGUGGCCGUGGCCCAUGCCGCCGUUCAUCGCAGAGAGUGGUUCUCAAAGCUUGUAGUGAUAAUGAUCUUGGAAAUCUUUCUUGUGAAUGCAACACCGAUGCUCUAUGCUUACCUAAUUUCCGAGGGUGACUUUUGAUCUUCAAUUGUCGCUUUAUUUUGCAUGAUUGGGGCGAUUCAUCGUGGCUUUUUGGAAUGAAAAUGUUGCUUGAAGAUGAAGUUUUGAGGCCAGGAGUGUUUGAACGAGCAGUGCUAUGCAAUCUGAAGUCAAGUCUUAUUUGAAACUCUUUAUGAUGGUAUUGUACUUAGGCAAUUUCCUAUCUUGGUUUAUGUGAACCUUGCUUUUGUGGAGGCAAUCUAGAUGAUCGCCUGUUCAUUAUUGGAUAACCUGGUGUGAAGUUUCGAUGGAGAGCAAACCUGGCUUGUUUAUUGCAUCUAUCUAUUUGGUAUAUCACUAAGCUCCCUAGGGGCGAUGGUCUCUCAUUCAAUUGAGGACAUUAGUUUUGGAUUGGUUUACAUUUUGACUUGGUCGACAGAUCUCUCAUUCAAGUGAGGUGUUCAAUGUUAAAUUUGAUUUGCAAUUU
This is a long non-coding RNA of Triticum aestivum (bread wheat), 1268 nucleotides long. RefSeq lists it as uncharacterized. The record is from RefSeq and is a predicted model, not a curated record. The transcript has 5 exons. NCBI's taxonomy places the organism in Eukaryota, Viridiplantae, Streptophyta, Magnoliopsida, Poales, Poaceae.